CACUGUCACUCCUACGGGAGGCAGCAGGUGGGGAAUAUUGCACAAUGGGCGCAAGCCUGAUGCAGCCAUGCCGCGUGUAUGAAGAAGGCCUUCGGGUUGUAAAGUACUUUCAGUCGUGAGGAAGGCGGCGUCGUUAAUAGCGGCGUUGUUUGACGUUAGCGACAGAAGAAGCACCGGCUAACUCCGUGCCAGCAGCCGCGGUAAUACGGAGGGUGCGAGCGUUAAUCGGAAUUACUGGGCGUAAAGCGCAUGCAGGUGGUUUGUUAAGUCAGAUGUGAAAGCCCCGGGGCUCAACCUCGGAAUUGCAUUUGAAACUGGCAGACUAGAGUACUGUAGAGGGGGUAGAAUUUCAGGUGUAGCGGUGAAAUGCGUAGAGAUCUGAAGGAAUACCGGUGGCGAAGGCGGCCCCCUGGACAGAUACUGACACUCAGAUGCGAAAGCGUGGGGAGCAAACAGGAUUAGAUACCCUGGUAG
RNAcentral lists this ribosomal RNA (474 nucleotides) under uncultured bacterium. Its description in RNAcentral is "bacterial SSU rRNA". It matches the Rfam family "Bacterial small subunit ribosomal RNA", at positions 325 to 793 of the family's 1533-position model. The record is from RNAcentral.